Molecule: ribosomal RNA, 407 nt
Filed under: uncultured bacterium
Lineage: Bacteria
Description: bacterial SSU rRNA
Rfam family: Bacterial small subunit ribosomal RNA
Source: RNAcentral
UGGGGAAUAUUGCACAAUGGGCGCAAGCCUGAUGCAGCAACGCCGCGUGAGGGACGACGGCCUUCGGGUUGUAAACCUCUUUUGGCAGGGAAGAAGCGAAAGUGACGGUACCUGCAGAAAAAGCACCGGCUAACUACGUGCCAGCAGCCGCGGUGAUACGUAGGGUGCAAGCGUUGUCCGGAAUUAUUGGGCGUAAAGAGCUCGUAGGCGGUUUGUCGCGUCUGCUGUGAAAACCCGAGGCUCAACCUCGGGCCUGCAGUGGGUACGGGCAAACUAGAGUGCGGUAGGGGAGAUUGGAAUUCCUGGUGUAGCGGUGGAAUGCGCAGAUACCAGGAGGAACACCGAUGGCGAAGGCAGAUCUCUGAGCCGUAACUGACGCUGAGGAGCGAAAGCAUGGGGAGCGAACA